UACGAAGGGGGCUAGCGUUGCUCGGAAUUACUGGGCGUAAAGGGAGCGUAGGCGGGUCGUCAAGUUGGGGGUGAAAGCCCAGGGCUCAACCUUGGAACUGCCUUCAAAACUGACGAUCUAGAGUAUGGAAGAGGUAAGUGGAACUCCGAGUGUAGAGGUGAAAUUCGUAGAUAUUCGGAAGAACACCAGUGGCGAAGGCGACUUACUGGUCCAUGACUGACGCUGAGGCCCGAAAGCGUGGGGAGCAAACAGG
This 253-nucleotide ribosomal RNA is filed under the name uncultured bacterium. RNAcentral describes it as "partial 16S ribosomal RNA". It matches the Rfam family "Bacterial small subunit ribosomal RNA", at positions 524 to 776 of the family's 1533-position model. The record is from RNAcentral.